MicroRNA precursor from Oryza sativa Indica Group (long-grained rice), 177 nucleotides. It matches the Rfam family "MIR812 microRNA precursor family". Lineage: Eukaryota; Viridiplantae; Streptophyta; Magnoliopsida; Poales; Poaceae. The record is from Rfam.
UUUAAGUAUAAUCGUGUGUGACCGUCCGUCUUAUUUAAUUUUUUUUAUAAUUAGUAUUUUUAUUGUUAUUAAAUGAUAAAACAUGAACAACACUUUAUACGUGACUUAUUUUUUUAAAAAAAUUCAGAUAAAACGGACAUUUAAUCAUUGGAAAAAAAACAUACAUCUGCACUUAAA